AUGGACAAUAACACGUUUGCGGAGGCGCACAUCAGGGCUGCUUUCUACCCCAAAUUUGAGAACGAGAAGUCCGAUCAAGAGACAAGAAAACAGAUGAUUGAGAUGGUGUCGCGUGGCUUUGCUACCAUGGAGGUUACGCUGAAGCAUUCAGGAUCUCUAUUCAUGUAUGCUGGUCACCAUGGAGCAUAUUCCAAGAAUAGCUUUGGAAAUAUCUACACUGCUGUGGGCGUUUUUGUCCUGGACCGUAUGUUUCAUGAAGCUUGGGGAAAGGAAGCUCCUCAAAUGCAAGCCGAAUUUAAUGAUUAUCUCCAGAAAAACCGGAUAAACAUUUCAAUGGAGCUUGUAACGGCUGAAUUAGGAGACCAUGGGCAAAGGCCAAAGGAUGAUUAUGCCGUGGUUACAGCUGUAACAGAGUUGGGUCAUGGCAAACCAAAGUUCUAUUCUACUCCAGACGUGAUUGCCUUUUGUCGAAAAUGGCGCCUAUCGACAAAUCAUGUCUGGCUAUUUUCCACAAGGAAAUCUGCCACUUCUUUUUUCGUUGCCUAUGAUGCAUUGUGUGAAGUGGGGACUGCCACACCAGUUUGCGAAGCCCUUGACAAAAUAGCUGAUAUAUCUGUACCAGGGUCCAAGGAUCAUUUAAAGGUACAGGGUGAGAUACUUGAAGGUCUGGUUGCCCGUAUUGUUAGUCAUCAAAGUUCAGAUCAAAUGAAAGAAGUCUUGAGAAGCCUCUCACAGGCUCCAUUACAUGGAGUGGACUCUGAUUUAGGACCAAGUUUACGUGAAAUAUGUGCCGCUAAUAGGUCAGAUGAAAAGCAGAAAUUAAAGCACUUCUUGAAAAUGUCGGAUCUUCAAUGUGUCCAGACCACUCUGAUUGGUUUGGAAACAGUAGUCUUGAUGCUCAGUCUCAAAACGCUGAUAAAUCGCUUGUCACUUACUUUUUGGAAGCACAUCCUACAGACUAUGCAACUAAGAAAUUGCAGGAGAUGUUUCGUUUGA
Molecule: ribosomal RNA, 996 nt
Filed under: Triticum aestivum (bread wheat)
Lineage: Eukaryota; Viridiplantae; Streptophyta; Magnoliopsida; Poales; Poaceae
Description: partial small subunit ribosomal RNA
Source: RNAcentral